AAGAUACUAGUAUAAUGAUAGUACAUUGCCUUGUCAAGGCAAAAUUGUAGGUUAAACCCCUGCGUAUCUUA
RNAcentral lists this transfer RNA (71 nucleotides) under Lesueurigobius friesii (Fries's goby). Its description in RNAcentral is "tRNA-Asp". It matches the Rfam family "tRNA". From Rfam's summary of the family: Transfer RNA (tRNA) molecules are approximately 80 nucleotides in length. The record is from RNAcentral. Lineage: Eukaryota; Metazoa; Chordata; Actinopteri; Gobiiformes; Gobiidae.